CAAAACUAGGCUUGACUCGCUUAUGGACUCUCCAGUAUAGUCGCCAGCUGAAGCUACGUGAAAAAUACCUAGCACAUCACACGCUCAAAGAUACAACAGAUUCUCUAGUGAGCUUUAUUUAUUCCCCGAGGAAAGGGAAAACAUCGAUAAAACCCAGGGGAAGAUAAAAAGGGUAAGGAAUUUGGUUAUGCAAGGGGAAUGUAUUAGCACCUCUCAC
This 217-nucleotide long non-coding RNA is filed under the name Lathyrus oleraceus (garden pea). RNAcentral's name for it is "Pisum sativum (pea) long non-coding RNA (PSAT_LNC025932)". The record is from RNAcentral. Lineage: Eukaryota; Viridiplantae; Streptophyta; Magnoliopsida; Fabales; Fabaceae.